This is a long non-coding RNA of Hydra vulgaris (swiftwater hydra), 183 nucleotides long. RefSeq lists it as uncharacterized. Lineage: Eukaryota; Metazoa; Cnidaria; Hydrozoa; Anthoathecata; Hydridae. The record is from RefSeq and is a predicted model, not a curated record.
GAAACAAUGAUAAUGAAAGUUUUUCAUCGUUCUAAAUAUAUGCUACAGUUAUGGUCGUGAAAGAUUAUGACAAAUCUUAUGGGUGCAAUUAUUCCACUGGCACCUGCGAAAUUGCCAAAAGAACUGACCAUCGCUGUUUAUUGUAUUUUUUUAAAUGUUUUAGUUAAACAAUCUAACACUUUA